This 238-nucleotide long non-coding RNA is filed under the name Lathyrus oleraceus (garden pea). RNAcentral describes it as "Pisum sativum (pea) long non-coding RNA (PSAT_LNC008884)". The record is from RNAcentral. Lineage: Eukaryota; Viridiplantae; Streptophyta; Magnoliopsida; Fabales; Fabaceae.
GCAAGUGUAAAAGAUAACAGAUGAAUCAGACAGAUGAAAAGAUGCACAAUAAGGUUCACUAAAAUAAUUAAAUCAGGAAAUGAGGUAAGGACCAAAUAAAAUCAAGAUAAAAGGCCUCUAAUAAAUGGCAUAUGAGAUGAACAAGGGAGGAUCAAAAUAUCUCUUCAAUUGCCAUAAGCAAUCCCUAAGUCAAACAUCGAUCAUAAAGAAGUCAACUGAAAAUUCGAGUCAACUUAAU